CUAGGAUAAUUGUAUUCAAUCCUCUUUUGAGGAACUAAAGUCCACAGAAUGCAAGUGAUUUCCCUAAGAUCACACUGUUAUUAAGUGGCAGAACUAGGAUAUAAAUAAACUAUCUAAACUCUAAAUUUUAUCAUGUUUCCGCUGUACCAACAAGAACUCCUUUGCUCUGCUGGCUUUGCAAUCCUGAGGGCAGUACAUAGUGCAUCACAAAUGAAAUCAAGGUUGGAUCCACAAAACAGACUAUAGUAUUGCAAGGCUUUUUCUAACAGAGUUUUCAAUUUUAAAGUCUGUGAAUCUCCACGUUUGAGGCUAGCUGCAUAGGUUAUCUCUCUUGUCUCACUGAGAAAGUGAUGAAGGACCCGUCCGUGGACAUUUCUCUCUUGUGCUUAAUGACCUCAUCUGAAGCAGAGAUCUGCCAACCAUCUCAGGUGAGUCAAGCCUGGAAAGUAUGGAAUUGCAUAAAACCUUCUUUCCUGAAAUAUACUUCUUUGACAGGGUUAAAAUCAGAAGCAGAAUUACCUCAUUUUAUCUUGAAAUAGUUAGAAAUGCCUUCAAGAAAUGGAAAGAGACCAUUGCAAUCUUCACAUUUAGUGCUACUUGAAAUUUUCCCCUGGCAAUCCUGUGUUCUAGUAUACAACACAGCAUAUUCAAAAUAGUUGUGAGAGAACAGCUGUACUGAUCAGACGCAGAUUUUAAAAGUGGAUGAAAUAGCAGUAUUGUGUCAUCAAAUCUUCCAGCCCCAGGAGCAAGUGAUAAGACAUGCUCUUUUUUUUUUAUUUUUUCCAUUUGCAGGUGCAAUCAUUUACAACUAAAUGGCAGGAAUGUCUCUCACACAAGCAGUUAAUAUGCACUAGAAUUUUUCCAGUAACCAGAUGGCAUGCAUUUCAUACCAAGCUUGUUGAAAUAAGAACUGAAAUCAUCUGCCAAUAAGUUGCAUGGAAGUUUUCCACAGUCUCCUUAGGUGACCUCAUUUAAGAUUUUGAAUUUUUUUGAGGUCAGAAAGCUUAUAAAUAUUCACUUCUUGGUGACUCACUUUCAGAGCCGUGGUGGAGUAAUUAUAGAAUAAUUCUAGUUAGCCAUCAUUGAAAAUAUUCUGACUUUAGCUCAUGUUAGGUUAUGCUUUUUUUUUUUUCUUAUUUCCUUCUGCUUGUUUUCAGUACAGCCCUAACUCAAGGUGCCACCUUAAGAAAAGCAGAGGAGUCUACAAAGCCGUGGUCAAUGUUAUUCUCUUUGACUAGAGACAUUACCACUGUCCAUUCUAUGGGGAGUCAUUGGUACCAUCUGCCAAUGUCUGGUUUGCAUCUCCAGCUGAAAGUCUCGUGAUUAGGUGGGACCAUGUGACUAGAUCGGGCCAAAGAGUUGCGAGUAGAAGGGACAUAUGUCGCUUCUGAGCCAAAACACAUAGUUGACAAUGCAAGAUUGUGCAGAGCUCCUUUCUAUCUACUGAUACCUGUCAAUACUCGAGACAGUGGAUGUUCCAUCAACCUGGGACCCAAAGUGAGGACACAUGAGCGGAAUGCCAGCCAAAGGACAUGCAGUGAGUGAAAACUUGUGUUAAUCCAUUAAGGUUUGAAUGUUGUUUGUUACUGUGACUUAAAUGGCUUAUUUUGAUUGAAACACUUAACCAUUCUGGUUUUUUGUUAGUUGUUUAUUUAAUUUCUAAUUUCUUAAAUAGAAGCUUUUUUAGAUGUUGCCACUAUUUUCUGAAUAUUCCUUCACUUCUAAUAGGUUAAUAUGGCUUCUAUCACACUGAAGUUUACAAAAUCUUGCAAUCUGGUCUGUUACUCCUGUCUUCUUUUGUGCUAUUUGACUUUCCGUUGCAUCUCAUAUCAGUGAUCGUGACUUCCAUCCUGAAAUUCCCACAGCUUCCAUUGCCCUCAACUUCUCUGCCUCUCCUCCUUUCUCUCAGAUCCUCUCCUAUUUUCUACAUUGAUUCUUAUUCUGUUGCCCAAGGCUCAGUCCUGGCAGGAUAGGGUGAUGAAAACAGUCCAGACUAGGAAAUGAGAUGACCUAGGUUUAAAUUCCAGCUUGACUACUUGUUAGCUAUGUGACCCUGAGACAGUCACUUAACCUCUUUAAGUCUCAAUUUCUAAUUCAGUAAAAUAGAGAUAAUAAUAGCUAACUCGCAACAUUGUCAUAAGAAUUAGCAUAUAAUGAAUAUAAAAUGCCUAGCUCAUAGUAGGGACUAAAUAAUGAUGAUACUGAUUUUUAUGAAAUUCAUAUGUCUCUAAUCUCUCUAGGUUUAAGAAUGUAAUAUUUGUCUUUAAACAGGGUGGCCGCAUUAUAGAAUCCUAGAGGGUACCACUCACAUUGCAUUCUAAAUACUGGCUCCCUCUGAAGCACAGUGCAAUGUAAAUGCUGCCUUUGGAAUCGUGAUAUUGUAGCAUACCAUUGCAAAAGUCUAAAAAAGAAAUCCCGAAUAAUUGUCUUAGAUGGUGUCCCACUAAUGGCGGGAAAUCCAGUCCUCUGUUGCUUUCCCCUUCUCAUAUCAUUUCUGGGAAUCCUUGGUAAUGUUUAACAAGUUACACAAAUCCAUGAUGGCCGUUGCUUUGAUGGUCUAAACAAUUCUGUCCACAGAGUCCUGCAGAUCCUUUCUCACCAUCUCGUAACUAGUUACUACAGGCUGAUAUUGCUUGGCCUAUACCCAUAUUAUUCCCCCAUGUAAAGCUAAGACAUUCUGUGCUGUUUAACCUACUCCUCCAGAAGGCUUGGGAAUGACCUCAGAACAUCUUGAAGAAUAGCAAUGGAAUUGGCUCCAAGAAGAGGCUGGUCUCAGGGCCCACUGUUCCAACCCAGCACUUAGGAGGCUUUCACAUAACUCAGCAUCAGCUUGGAAUCUCUUAGGACCCCGAGAAAAGCUAAGUCAUUUCCUACCCCAUGCCAAGUCCUCUUUCGUGCAGGAGGAUGAUUAACAGAGGACGACAGAAUUGAUCAAGCUGCAGUAUCAGAUGGCACGGAUAUGCACCUCAGAUCCACUACUUAUUAACUGGGUGACUAUAGGAAAGUCACUGCAACUCCUUGUGCCUCGGGUUUUUCAUAACUAAAAUGAGGUUAAUGGUAGCAUCCGUAUCACAGGGUCGUUAAGGAGGUUGACUGAGAUAGUAUACAUGAAGGACUUGGUAGAGUGCCUGCCUAUUACAAGCACUCCUUACAUAUCAGGAAUUAUCGUUAUUAUUACUGAUCAAAACCUAUCAUCUGUAGAGAACCUAUUCCGUGCCAACCACAGUGUUAAGAACUUUACAUAUGUUUGACCCUGGGAGGUAAAUGCCAUUGUUUAUAUUAUUGCAGAUACAGAAAAGAAAUUAAGCGGUUUUUGCAAGGUCAGAGUUGAGAUUGGAAAACAAACCCAUCUGCUUAAACUUUCCCCAUUGCCCUGAAAAUGCAAUCACAAAAUCCAGGAGUCCCUCCCAAAGUUCAAUAUAGUUUAUUCCAAAUUACAGUGUAUUGGGGGCACAAGCAAAUCAUCCAGGUGAAGAUUCCAGCACUGCUUGUUCAACCUCUUGCUACCAGAAUAAGAAGAUACACCUUUCACCUAUCUAGCUGGUCUGUAAGCCUGAUUUCCUGUGGCCUCCAGUUGAGAACACAGUCGUGCACACACACACACACACACACACACACACAUCUCUUCUCAAACUGCAACUUUUCAGAGAUAUGGAAAUAUACAUCCAUAUUUAAGAAAAAGAUCUCUGCUCAACAGCCCAGUAGAUGUUACUAAGCAGAGGACUUAGUAAAUCAAGUCUGAAGGAAGCCUGCGAAAACCACUAUGUACUUAGCUUGUAGCCACUGGACUGACGAGCAGUGCAAAGUGACCUCUCCCAGAAAGGAAAAGAAAAAUCAAUUAUCAACUUCUACCGUAAAAUGUAGAAACUUCCUGUACCCCCUAAAAUGGCAAUGUUUUACGUAUUUUCAUGAUCCAGUCUCCACUGACCUGUCUCUCCUACUUACUUGAAAAUACAAUCCACACUUUUAACAUCAAGUAUCACCACCAUAUUGCUGACUCCUAAAGGAAAAACUCUUGUCUAAGCCCUUCAGCCAAGUUCUGGUUGCACACGGUCUGCUUCCUCCAGGACAACUCCAUUUGGAGGCCCAACUAGCGACUAGGAACUGCAGGUAUAGGGGAGACAGUAUCAUACACUGAUUCAAAGGGCCGCUUUAGAAUCAUCCAGCUUGACUUGAAUCCAGGUCUUACCAUGUAUAGCCCUGUGACCUUGGGCAACUUAUAUAACCUGAAGACUCAGUUUCCUCAGCAGCAAAAUGGGACUAGUAAUAGAGACUAUAUCACAGGGCUGUGAGAAAGAAAGAAUACACGUAAGGCAUAGCAGAAUAUCUGGCACGUUGUGUGUGUCUAAUAAAAAUGUUUAUAUUGUUUUUUACAUUAUUAUCAUUAUGCACAAAUUAAAUUUAUCUCUGUUAUUCACAUGUAAAUUUCUAUUCAGCACAAUGGUAAUUUUUCCUCAGGAUCAAAACUUUAGAGGUUUCUUUAACAUUCUCUGUUGUUCAUAUAUCACUUAAAUUCUUUAUAGAAUGACAGGGGGUAUUAAUGAAUAAAUUGAAUAAUUAUGAAUGAAUGACUGGAUGAAUACAAUCACCAAGUGCUGAUUUCUUUCAAAACUUUCUCUCACUCUUUCUUCCUGCUCUCAAGACCCUGGCUUGCACUUGUGCCUUCCAGCACACAAUCACCUCCAUGAAGCACCCCAACUGAACACUCAGCCUCUAGGCUUUGCCCCUACAAUUCAGUGUCUAAUCAAGCUCUCGAAGACACUGUUUCAAUCUAUCACCUACAAUGGCGCUCGAUUUCCCUGUCUGAUUUUAGUCCAAACUGCUCUUUUUGGCACUGAAAGAUCAGCAGCAGCAGGCCCCUCCCCCUCAUCUGAUCUCUUAGAGCUCCCAGCCUCGGGUCCACGCCUCUACCACAUGCCAAAUGCAUUGGACGUCAUCCUGCCUCUGCCUCAGCCACCUGGAUUCCCUCAAGCUUUUUAAAACACAAAUCUAAUUGCUUCUCUAUACUUCAUCCUGCAAUAGCUCCUUUGCCUUUAGAGUAAAACACAAUCUCUUUAUGGACAUGUUUAUAGAGCCAACCAUGUUUCAAGCAUUGUGCUGGGGAAAGAUGAACAAGAUACAGUUCUGGCUCACAGCCUUACAACAAGAUGUAAAAAUGUCCUCUGAACUUGGUCCCUGCCUGCCUCUGGCUCAUUUGCCACUCUUUGCGUGUAUCUUUUUCCUCAGCUUUAUUUAAUUAAUCACCAGCAGUUCUCCAAAUGCGCCUUGCUCCCUCACCUUCCCUGGAAGAUUUCCUGACAUCCACUCCACCUCUGUCUAGUGUGGGCGUUCCUACAGCAUUGUGUAAUGGCUUCUUUCCUAACAUUGUAAUAUUGUCUAGGAGGUCUUCCCAACCAGACAGUCAACAGUAACUGAGCAAGUUAACUCCUGCGGUAGCUAGCACAUACCAUAAAACAUGGCAUGUUACUCUAGUCUGCUUAUUGACUCCUAUGUAAUGAUGUUUAGAUUCUCUUCUUCAGAAAGAAAAAGAGCCACGUGUCUGAAAAUUGUUGUAAGCCAUCCCUUCCUUGGCCUUCCUUUCUUAAGAGCAUUUACCUUCCCUUGCAGACCCCUCACAGCCUUUUCCCGCAGAGCUUGUGUUCCUACCCCUUGUUGUUCCUUAUUGCUCUCCUUUGGGCUCCUUCCGCCUGAUGGUUUAUGCUUCUCUUCUAUUUAGGAUUUACUACCCUGGAUCAUGUUUUCUGGCAUAUAAUUAAAUGACAGUUCAAUAGGCUCAGGGGUCAAACAAACUUGGUUUCAAAUUCCAGCUCUGCUGGGGUGAAGUGUAGAAGGCUACUUACUCUUAGGAACCUCAGAGUUUUCAUAUAGAAAGUGGGAUAAUAAAAGACUAUCUUACAGAAGUGUUGGAAUAAUUAAAGACACUCCACAUAAAACGCCACAGGAGCCAGGACUUGUCAGGAAACCUAAAUCUGCUUAUCUAUCUAUCUAUCUAUCAUCCAUAUAUCCAGUAAUGCUUUGUUAUUCAGCUCCUAGUUUUUAUCACAGUCAUUAUUAUAAAGGUCACAGAGCUUGGUUUUAAUUCCUUACACUCUUAGACAGACGACACCAACAGAACUGGCCACAACAAAGACACGCUCAGAGACUUUCCAAUCACUGAGCACAUGAAUAAAUUAUCAGAGCAUUCAACUUCCUCCUGCCUCUCAGCAGAGACCUGGUCUCCUGCUUCCCAGACACAAUAACGCCAUCAGACAGGUGCUCCCUCCCAAACCUCGGGCCUGCAGUGAGAGAAUGUGCCUCAAAGUCAGCACAAGAUUUCACCUCCUCCAGCCUUCUCAGAAACUUCUGCCAUCAGUUAACCCACAUACCCAUACUCUCUCUCUAAUAACUUUAGCCACUCACUCUACUGAAUCCUUCCCAUCAGAAGGAACUGUCACUUAGCUCUUUCCUGAGUCCUCAUACUGUGGCUGGUACGGACUAGUGGUGGCUUGGUAGGCAUUUGUGGUAUGAUUAAAUAAAUCAGAAUUCUUGUUUGCUGGAGAUUGACCUCCUCCACAAAGACAGUCCAGCUGCUGCUGAUCUUCUCUGAUUAUGAGGUUCUACCACAUUCAUGUGACCACAUCAUUCUAAAUCAGAUCAUGACAAUCUUCUCUUCAAACCUUUAAAAGCCUUCGUGUUUCAUUCGGAGUAGACACCAACACCCUUACAAUGGCUAUGAGGCCUCCAAAGAUGCUCCUGCCUCAGGGCACGUGUACCUGCUCUUCCUUCUACCUAGAAUGACUGUCCCCCCGAAUAUCUGCUCAGCUUCCCCCUCACCUCUUCCCAAUUCUUGCUCUGCUCUACUGACAACUUCUCAGUGAGCCCACCACCACCAUCAUCACUCUCCCUAGCCCUCUUUCCUGCUUUAUUUUCCAUCAUAAUGCUUAUCACCAUCUAACAUAUCAUCUCUUUUAUUGAUUUAUUAUUUAUUUAUUGUCUUUCACAUAUGGCCAAACAUAAGCUUUAUAGACAGGUACUUUUGCCCAUUUUAUUCCUGGCUUUAUCUCCACCACUUAGAAUAGUGCCUGACACAUCGUUGGUGCUCAAUAUAUAUUUGUUGAAUGAAGGAAUAACCCUGCAAUUGGUUAUGUUUUAUCUCAUUAUCUUAUUUCAUGAAUAUUUAGUUGAGAACUUGCUGUGUUCAAUGCCCAGUUCUGGGACCUGGAAAAGAGUAAUGAGCAUGAAGGGCAAGGACCCUAACUUUAUGAAAAUUUACAUUAUCUUUAGUUAUUUAUGUGUAUUUUUCUCUCUGUGUAACAAUUGUAAGAUUUCUGAAAGAGGGGAGCCACGACUUCUAUCUCUUGUGUGUAACCACAAAGUACCUUGCUGAGAUUAAGAUUCUCAGAAUUUUCAUAAUUAUUGCAUAUUAAUUUAUAUGUGUGGACAAAAUCUUUAUGACUAUGUAAGAUCUUUUGGUCUUAAAAUCCUCGAUAGUAGAAAUAUGAAAAUAUUAGUGAAUGGAUUUUGCGGGCUAGAGGACACUAGCUAGAAGGGUAUUGCAGUCACCCGGGUAGAGAAGACAAUUGCUGAACUAAGAGAAGGCAGUUGAGAGCAGAUCCCAUGGCAAGAUUAAAUGUGCAAGAACUUUAUAAGGGAAAUACGUGUGACAGAAAAUAGGGAGGGAGUGAGGAGAAGCUGAGAGAGCUGCCACUCUGCAAUGCAAGUCUGACCUCAAGUGAAGGAGAGAGUGAAGGGACAUUGGUGGAAAUGCCCUAGUUAGCUAUGCAGUCUAAAAAGAGUUCAGCAAGGCCAUCAAGGUGACUUCAAGCUAAAGUCAGCUGUCAGAGGAGUUUUAUGUCUCCCAGGAGUGGGCCUGACUUAGUGUAUGUGGAGCACUUAUCAUUUGCUGGGAGCAGCCCAUGGAAAGCAUGGACUCAGAAUAAACCUACACAGAUAUUUAGGGUUUUGGGCCAAGCUAUGCCAUCCUUUUGAGAUAAUUACAGUACUUUUUUAGAUACAGUUUCUGACUUGCUACUGGAUCCUACUAAAGACUGAGCACUUGAUCACAGGCCACCAAGUUAUCAUGAAGUAUGAGCUGCCCAUAAUAACUUCACUGUUCUUGACCCACCAAACCAUAAGGCUGGGCAUGCGUCACUGAACUUCAUCAUCAAGAAGAAGUGCGACAUAUGAAACCAGGCAUGAGCAGAUCCUGAAGACACAAGGAAGUUACAGAGAAAGUAGCCCAGAUUUUCAUGUCCCCUACUCUUGCUAGAUUGCCUUCUCUCUCAGCCUACACCUGUGACCUCAUGGGGAAUUUACUAUGACCAGUUGACUGAAGAAUAAAAAUGUCAGUUGUAGUUUAUAGAUAGUUAUGCAUGGUAUGUUGGCUGUCCAAAGUGAACAGCUGCAGCACUACAGCCCUACUCAGGGAUAACCCUAAAGGACAGUUGUGAAGGGAAAUCAUUCCAGUGGGCAGAACUUCAACCAGUGCAGCUACUUGUUCAUUUGCCUCAAAGAAAAGAUGGCCAGAGUACAGAUCUAUACUGAUUCAUGUCUAUUGGCUAAGAGUUUGGCUGGAUGGUCAAGAACUUGGAAAGAGCUUUAUUGGAAAAUUGGUGACCAUGAUAUUUAGUACAGCCAUACAAUUGAGUACUUCUCAGCAAUAAAAAAAAGAACAAACUACUGACCCAUGCAACAGCAUGGAUGAAUCCCAAAAUCAUUAUGCUAAGAAAAUCAUGCAGAAUAAAAAAGUGGCAUAUUAUAUGAUUCCAUUUGUAGGACAUCAUGGAAAAGGCAAAUUCUAGGGACAGAAAACUAAUCAGUCGUCACCAGGGGCUGGUGGAGAGAAGAGUUAACUACAAAGGGACAUGGGGAAAUUUGGGGGGAGAUAGAACUGUUCUAUAUCUUGCUUAUGGUGAAAGAUAACAACUAUAUGUGCUUGCAAAAUUAUUAACCUCUACAGUAAAAUGGGUAGAUUUUACUAAUUGGAAAAAACAACUACUGGAUGACUAUAUUAAUAUCUGACAAAGUAAACCUUACACAAAGAUUAUUACAAAAAAGGGGGAUGUUUCAUAAGAGUAGGUAUCAAUUCAUCAAGACAUAGUAACACUAUAUGCACAUGAGGCUAAUAACAGCUUCAAUACACAUGAAGUGAAAACUGAUUAAACUAAAAGAAAAAAUUUAGAAAUCCACAAUUACAGUAAAAAGUUUCAGUAUUCCUCCCUCAGUAACAGUUAUGAGAACAUGGCAAAAAAAAAUCUGUUAAAUGUAUAUAAAAGAAUUAAACAACCACUAUAAACCAAUCUUAUCUAAUUGAAAAUUUUUAGAACGCUAUCCUGACAACAACAGAAUAUAUAUUCUUUUGAAGUGUACAUGGAAUUGUCACUACAUAGACCCCUUUACAGGCCAUUUAAAAAUUCUAAAUAAGUUAAAAAAUUGAAAGCAUGUAGAGUUUAUUCUUAGGCUACAAUGGAAAUAAACUUGAAAUUAGUAAUAGACUAGUAACUAGAAAAGCACUAAAUAAUUGAAAAUUAAGCAACACACAUAUAAAUAAACCAUGGAUCAAAAUAGAAAUUAUAAUGGAAAUGAGAAAGUAUUUUGGACUGAAUGAAAUGAAGAAGCUACAAAUAAGAAUUUGUGGAAUGCAGCCAAAGUAGGUUUAGAUGAAAAUUUAUAACCUUGAAUGCUUAAAAUCAAUGAUCUAAGUUUCUACCUUGAGAAACUAAAAAAAUGAGACCACAUUAACCUCGAUAUGAGAAGAAGUUAAGAUAAAGAAAAAAAUUAAUAAAAUGGCAAACAGAAAAAAGAACUGAGAAAAUCAAUGAAGUCAAAAACUGGUUCUUUGAUGAGAUCAAUAAAGUUAAUGAACUUUGAGUCAAAGUGAUCGGGAAAAAGAGUAGACACAGUGACCUGACAUCAGCAUGAAAGAGAGGACAGAUCCUCCACGUCACUACAGAUCCUUCAAAACUUAAGGCUAGACUAAGGGAAUACUAUAAACAACUUUACACCAAUAAAUUUGACAACUUGAAUAAUGGACAAAUUUCUUUAACAACAAAACUACCAAAGAGAAGUCAAGAAAAAAAUAGAUAAUCUGAAUAGCUAUAUAUCAUCUAUUAAAGAAACUGAAUUCACAGUUAAAAAUCUUCCAACAAAGAAAACUUUAGGCUUUGCUGGUGAAUUUUAUCACAUUUUUAAAGGAGAAGUAAUGCCAUUUUUACACAAAUGCUUUCAGGAAAUUGAAGAAGGCUAGCAUUACCCUAAUGCAAAAAGUAAACAUACAUUACAAGAAAGGAAAUGACAGACAUCUUUCCCAUGAAUACACAUGCAAAUAUUUUUAACAAAAUUUCAACAAUCAUAUCCAACAUUAUCUAAAAUUAUGAUAUUGAAUGACUAUGAUGGUUAAUUUUAUGUGUCAGCUUGACUGGGCCACAGGAUGUCCAGAUAUCUGGUUAAAUAUUAUGUCUAAGUGUGUCUCCAGAAGAGAUUAGCACCUGAAUUGGAUGAGUAAAGCAGUUUGCCCUCCCCAGUGUGGGUGGGCAUCAUCUAACCUCUGGAAGGCUCAAAUCUAACAAAAAGGUGGAGGAAAGUUGGGAGAUUGAAUUCUCUCUCUCUGCCUGACUGGUUGAGCUGAAACAUCAGUCUUCUCCCGUGCUCAGCUGAGAUGUACACCAUCAGCCUUCUAACUCUAAGAACCGCUACCACCAGCUUUCCUGGGUCUCAGCUUGCAGACAGCAGAUCAUGGGAUUUCUCAGCCUACAAAAUUGUAUAAGGCAAUUCCUUUAAAUGAAAUAUAUACCUCCUAUUGGUUCUGUUUCUCUGGAGAACUCAUUAAUACACUGACCAAGUAGGGUUCAACCUAAGAAUAUUGGUUUAACAUUUUAAAACUUAUGCAAUUCACUGGGUUAAGAGAAUGAAAAAUAAAACAAUCAAAUGAUCUUAAAGAUGCAGAAAAAGCAUUUGACAAAAUUUAACACCAUUCAUGAUAAAAAAAAAACACUCAGAAAUAUGGGAAUAGAAUUAAACUUUCUAAAAAGGCCAUCUAUGAAAAACCUACAAUUAACAUCAUAUUUAAUGUAAUAUCAGGAACAAAGCAAUCUGUUCUCAUCACUUCUGUUCAGCAUUGUACUGGAAAACCCAGCUACUGCAAUAAGGCAAAACAAAAAUUCCAGAUUGGAAAGGAAGAAGCAAAACUCUUUUUAUUCACAGACAAUAUUGUAAUCUACUUAGAAAAUCUUAAGAAUUCUUUAAAAAGUUAAUAGAUCUAAUAAGUGCAUUUAGCAGAGUCUCAGAACACAAGGCCAAUAUACAAAAAUUAAUUGUAUUAUUGUGUAGUAGCAAGGAACAAAUGUCAAUGAAAUUUAAAACCAGUAUCACUUACAAUAAUAUCAAAAACAUCAUCCUAAGGGUAAAUAUAAUAAAGAAGUUCAAGAACUCUACCCUGGAAAUUAUAAAAUAUUGUUAAGGAAAUUAAAGACCUCAAUAAAUGGUGGUUUAUCACCAAGUUUGUGAAUUAGGCAACUCAAAAUUGUUAAGAUCUCAGUUCUCUUCAAUUUUUUUUAAAUUUUUUUUUUGGGAGGAAAAUUAGCCCUGAGCUAAGAUCUGCCACCAAUCCUCUUUUUGCUGAGGAAGACCGGCCCUGAGCUAACAUCCAUGCCCAUCUUCCUCUGCUUUACAUGUGGGGCACCUACCACAGCAUGGCUUGAAAGCAGUGCUCAGGUCUGCACCCAGGAUCUGAAGUGGCAAACCCUGGGCCCCCCAAGCAGAGCAUGCAAAUUCAACCACUGAGCCACUGGGCUGGCCCGAGUUGUCUUCAAUUUUUGCUCUAUCUAUUCAGUGCAAUGCAUACCAAAGUCAUAGUGGGUUUUUGUUGUUUAUUUUUGUUUGUUUUUUGUGGAAAUUCACAAGGUAGUUCUAAAAUCUAUAUACAAAGGCAAAGGAUGUAGAACAGCAAAAGCAACAUGAAAGAAGAUGAAAGCUGGAGAAUUUACAUUACCAGAUAUCAAGACUGACAGUACGUCUACAUAAUUAACACAGCAUGGAUUGACCCAAAUAUAGACCAAUACACCAGUGAGAUAGAAUGGAGAGGUCAGAAAUACCCACACAUAUACAAUCAUCUGAUUUAUAAUGAAGCCCGUUGAAAUUCACUGCCAGAGAGGAUGAUAUUUCUAUUAAAUAGUGCUAUGUCAAUUGUAUAUCCAUGUGGAAAAUAAUGAACUUUGACCCCUACCUCACCCCCCCCAACACACAGAGACAAAUGUGAUGAGUCAUGGAUAUAUAUCUCUCAGCUUCUAAAAUAAAACAGGAUAAUAUUUUCAUGACCUUGGGAUAGGCAAAUAUUUUUUUAAACAGGAUAAAAAAAUAACAAUCAUUAAUCAUAAUAUAAAUGAUCAGUACACUGGACUUCAUUAAAAUUAAGAAUUUGUAUUCACCAAAAAGCAAUGUUAAGAAAGUAAAAAGCAAGCACACCGCAGACUGGGAAAAGAUAUUUCAAAUACAUAAAGUACGUAAAGCUUUUUAGGAUUUCUAAAAAGUAACUUUCAAAUUAAUAAUAAAAAAAAGAUAAUUCAAAAGAAAUAUAUGCAAAGACUUGAAAAGACACUUCAUGAGGAAAGAUAUAAAAGUGGACAUUAAACAUGUGAAAAGAUUCUCAAUAUCAUUAGCCAUCAGAAAAAAAUACAAAUUAAAAUCACAAGAUGCCACUAUACAUCCAUAAUGGCUGAAAUUAAAAACUGGUGUCAGGUAUUGGUGAAAAUGUGGAUUAAAUGAAGCUCUCUUACAUUGAUUAUAGGAGUGUAACUUGAUACAAACAUUUUAGAAAACUUUUGGCAGUAUCUACUAAAACUAAAUACUCUUAUACCUAUAUCCAAGAAUGGAAUUGAGCAAUUCUAUUCUUGAAGACAUUCCCAACCAAGAUAAGUGCUUAUAUCCAAUAAAAGAUGUGGUCAAGAAUAUAGAAUCUUUAUUCAUAAUAUUCCCAAAUCAUAAAUGACCCAAAUUUCCAUCAGAAUAGCCGGAGGAAAUAAACUGUGGAAUGGUCAUUCAAUGGAAUACUACACAACAAUGUAAAAGAACCGACUACUGAUCCAUGCAACAACAGCCUGGAUAAUUCCCAACACCGUAAUGAUAAGUGAAGGAAGUCAAGCAAAUCUAACCCUAAUGUUUUGGUCAUAGCUGUCAGAAUAGUGGGUGCCCUUAUGUGGGGAGGGAUGAAAGGAAAAGACACAGGGUUGAAUAAAGUCAUCCGGGAAGCAAGAGUAGAUAGAGAAAGGGGAGAUCCUAAAAAAGUGUUGAUCAGGAGUAUUCAGUGAAGUCAGAGAUAAAGACCAUAGCACUUGUUUAUGCAAGACCAAUGCUGAAAAGUUCUUAAUAAAGGAGUGAUCAGUUCCAUCGUAAAAUCAGUGACAGAGAAUUAAACCCUAGGCUGGAGCAGGCGGACAUCCUUGGUGACCUUGAACUCCACAUGAGAGGUUUCAGUGGUGCUUGGGGAACUAAAGUAUAACUGGUGGGUUAAAGGCCAUGGAUGAAGAGAAUUGGACACAGACAAUAUGGAUCACGUUUUUUAUGAGUUUUUCUGUAAAGGGGAACAAAGAGAUGGAGAAGAAGCAGGAUGUAGAAUGGGAGGUCAAGGGACUUUCUUAUAAUAGAAAAUGUUAUAAGAUUAUCGCAGAGUCCAUUAAAAGGGAAAUUUUAAAGGUGUCUGGAGGGAGGGGAGGGGACAGUGUCAUGAGCAAAGUCCUUUUAGAGCUGUGGACCACAAUCCUGGUUGUUUCCAACUAAAGUAUUUUUCUGGUGGAAUCUUAUUUCUGUCACAAAUACAUGUGAUUCCUCUUGCCAUUGACUUAUUCUUGAAAUCUCAACCAUCCAAAUACCAUAGCCACUUUCAAUUUGUAAACUUUCUAAACAGCAUGUUUGAUGGAUUUUUCCUGACAUAGCAUCCGUCCAAUGGUGCAUGAUUGUCUUACAAACAGGAAUGGUGUACGCUGCUUCUGUUCCAUCCAGUGAUGAGGCAGCAAGAAGUGCCCUUUGACCGGAAAAACAUAUCAGAACACAAGGACCCCUGGACAACUACUGAAUUACCAAGCGGGAAAAUAUAUCAUUCCUUUAGAAAUGGAAAUUUCUAUUAGAAAAAUCCAGUGAGAGUUUUCUCUUGUUCUAUUCAGAACAAAUACAUAUAGCCAUAGAAUAAAUGGACUUUUUGAAUCCAAAAUUUAGCACCAUAGAUUUGUUAAUGUUAAAAACCACCUAAGAAUUUCUAGAUCUAUGGAGAAACAUGAACAUUGAACAUUACUGUUCAAAGAUGGAAUAGUUAUGAUUUCUGCUCACUUUUCUCUGUAAAAGUAAACUAAAUAGAUCACUUCUGGGUUCUUUUUUCCUUUUUGUCUCUACUGGGUUUUCUAUUCUCGUUAGUAGAGUGUUAAUUAUAUUAGAUUCCACUUAUAUAGUAUGUUUUAAUAAUUUUUACUCUCUGGUAAGCACUUCAGUGAAAAAGCAGUAAACAGUGUGCUCAGUUUAACAUUGCUAAAAAUGACCUUAAUGUUGAUAUUGCCUGGAUGUGUUAUUUGAACACAUAAUCUCUAUCUCGUGUAAUAUGUUUUUUGCUCAUAUUUUCUAUGACUUUAUUCACAUGUGUGUGUAAAGACUAAAAUCCAAUACUUACCCAUAUUCACUGACAAGCAGGAAGCAGGAGAGCAUCAGCCCUGAAGCUCAUUCUCAAAAGAAGUUCUUUGGCCUCAGUUUGCUGCCUUCAUGGGAGUUGUCAUUUGAAGCUGAGCUGAUGCUUGCGCACACGUUCGUUCUUUUGUUCUUAAAGCUGAUUGUUUGGAACUUAGAAAGAAGCAUUCGUGCCCAAAAGCCUUACUGUUGACAGGCAAACUACUACAUUGAGAAGAUAAGGGUCAGCACAACUAAAAUGUAUUCCUUAGAGACAUUUCCUGGAUGGUGGUGAGCUUUAGUGGGGACAUUUUCACUUUUGGAUGAAAAAACCAGGAAAGGAUUCCUUCGGCAUGAUUUCAGGUUUCUCGUGUCUUUUUAAUAUGAUGGGUUGUGACUUCUGCUUAUUUAUAGGUGACACAAUGGGGCAGGGUCCUAGGUUUUAAGCUGUAGCCUAACAACAGUGUUGUCAUAUAAUAAUUUGGGGGUCCAAUUGAUACUUAGCUUGUUUAUUAUAUUUACAUUCUUCCCAUAAUAUAUUUUGCUGACAAUCAUAACAUUCCUUAUUGUAGCACAAUAAUUUAUAUUCAGCAGACAUAAUUUUAAAAUAGAUAUAAUUCAAUAAGUUUUAUUCAACACCCAUAUUUGUGUAAUCCAUACACACAAGUGAUGAGAUUUGCAUUGGGAGACCUUCUAUAAUUUCUAUUUUUCUCAUGUUCAUUUUUUUUUUGCCUCAAAAUAGAGAAUUUGACUCCAAAGACAUGAUGUUACUCCAAAUUAAAUGUUAAAUGAUACAUAAUUAUAUUUGUAUUUAUCUUAUAAAUUAAAGUUAUAUUCUUGGCAACAGGAACCGGGGAGUUGGCUGGUGGAAAGAAAUAACAAAUUCUUCCUUCCUUUGUUUUGUCUGAAUUCCUUCCUUCCUCUGUCAAAAAUCACAAUGCACUCUUCAAAAGGAACACACCAUGAGUCAGAGAGCUCCUGACUCUCCUGCUUUCGUUCUGUGUAUACCAGCGUCAGCAAAUGACACAGUUCAAUGCUAGGGCUCUGCUUGCUUGUCUAUUAACCUAACUGACAGUGCCUGUGACACAUGUCAAGAUGACUCCCCUCUGAACAGCUCAGAUUUGAGCCAGUCGAAAAGGGUGGGGGAGGGAAAACCUAGUCACUCUUGCUCCUUCAUCUCCAGGAGAAUAAAGUGCCAGCUUGACUGUUUGCUAUCAUGUCAAAAAGUCAAGACGAAAUUAUUUGCAAGAAACAUAUAUGCAAGGAGAGGAACUUCCCAGGGUGGACAAUAGGAGCUGGGAGAGAGCGUGUUACUAAGGGCCUCCAAUGUGGUCUUAGGAUCAGGAUACAGCUGUGUGACUGAUCAACAAAGGAAUUUUCAAAAAGUUCCUGGACAGUGAUGAAUAAAAUUAUUCAUCUAAAGGCAGGUGCAUUAAAAAGGAGAAAUACUGUUAACUCCUAAUAUGGAGAAGAAAUAUAAGGGUCCAAGACAAUGAGAGCAAGAGAGUUACAGAAAACCAGCUCAGAUCUGCAUGGCAAUGCUGAUAAAUUAGUAAUACAGCCUCAGGCUUUUUGCCAAGAAAAGUGCCAGCACCAUGGCUCAAAUUGUCAUGAGGCACGUUUAGUAGUGUGUCAGAAAAGUCAAAUUUCACUCUCCUUAUCUGGCAGAGAACAAGAAUAUAUAUAUAUUUAAAAUGCCCCAUUGCAUUCUAGCCCAUACGUUACGU
Molecule: long non-coding RNA, 16352 nt
Organism: Equus caballus (horse)
Lineage: Eukaryota; Metazoa; Chordata; Mammalia; Perissodactyla; Equidae
Source: Ensembl